GACGAACGCUGGCGACGUGCUUAACACAUGCAAGUCGAACGGAAAGGCCCUGCUUUUGUGGGGUGCUCGAGUGGCGAACGGGUGAGUAACACGUGAGUAACCUGCCCUUGACUUUGGGAUAACUUCAGGAAACUGGGGCUAAUACCGGAUAGGAGCUCCUGCUGCAUGGUGGGGGUUGGAAAGUUUCGGCGGUUGGGGAUGGACUCGCGGCUUAUCAGCUUGUUGGUGGGGUAGUGGCUUACCAAGGCUUUGACGGGUAGCCGGCCUGAGAGGGUGACCGGCCACAUUGGGACUGAGAUACGGCCCAGACUCCUACGGGAGGCAGCAGUGGGGAAUAUUGCGCAAUGGGCGGAAGCCUGAUGCAGCAACGCCGCGUGCGGGAUGACGGCCUUCGGGUUGUAAACCGCUUUCGCCUGUGACGAAGCGUGAGUGACGGUAAUGGGUAAAGAAGCACCGGCUAACUACGUG
RNAcentral lists this ribosomal RNA (468 nucleotides) under uncultured bacterium. RNAcentral describes it as "partial 16S ribosomal RNA". It matches the Rfam family "Bacterial small subunit ribosomal RNA", at positions 28 to 507 of the family's 1533-position model. The record is from RNAcentral.